RNAcentral lists this transfer RNA (91 nucleotides) under Ailuropoda melanoleuca (giant panda). It matches the Rfam family "tRNA". Rfam says of the family: Transfer RNA (tRNA) molecules are approximately 80 nucleotides in length. Their secondary structure includes four short double-helical elements and three loops (D, anti-codon, and T loops). Lineage: Eukaryota; Metazoa; Chordata; Mammalia; Carnivora; Ursidae. The record is from Rfam by way of RNAcentral.
GCCUGGGUGGCUCAGUUGGUUGAGCACCUGACUCUUGAUUUCAGCUCAGGUCAUGAUCUCAGGGUCAUGGGAUCAAACCCCAUGUCCGGCU